GCUAGAGUAGUUUAAUUUGAGAAUUUUUGAUUUGUAAUUAAAAGGUUUGGCU
RNAcentral lists this transfer RNA (52 nucleotides) under Angiostrongylus mackerrasae. RNAcentral's name for it is "tRNA-Thr". Lineage: Eukaryota; Metazoa; Nematoda; Chromadorea; Rhabditida; Metastrongylidae. The record is from RNAcentral.